RNAcentral lists this ribosomal RNA (446 nucleotides) under uncultured bacterium. Its description in RNAcentral is "SSU rRNA". It matches the Rfam family "Bacterial small subunit ribosomal RNA", at positions 26 to 518 of the family's 1533-position model. The record is from RNAcentral.
AGAGCGAACGCUGGCGGCAGGCCUAACACAUGCAAGUCGAGCGCCCGUAGCAAUACGGGAGCGGCAGACGGGAUAGUAACACGUGGGAACGCGCCCUUCGGUUCGGAAUAACUCAGGGAAACUUGAGCUAAUACCGAAUACGCCCUUACGGGGAAAGAUUUAUUGCCGAAGGAACGGCCCGCGUCCGAUUAGCUAGUUGGUGAGGUAAUGGCUCACCAAGGCUACGAUCGGUAGCUGGUCUGAGAGGAUGACCAGCAUCACUGGGACUGAGACACGGCCCAGACUCCUACGGGAGGCAGCAGUGGGGAAUAUUGGACAAUGGGCGCAAGCCUGAUCCAGCCAUGCCGCGUGGAUGAUGAAGGCCUUAGGGUUGUAAAGUCCUUUUAACGGGGAAGGUAAUGACGGUACCGUAGAAUAAGCCCGGCUAACUUCGUGCCAGCAGCCGC